Molecule: long non-coding RNA, 547 nt
Organism: Mustela erminea (ermine)
Lineage: Eukaryota; Metazoa; Chordata; Mammalia; Carnivora; Mustelidae
Exons: 3
Source: RefSeq, a predicted model, not a curated record
UCCAGCAUCCCCGCCCGCGGCGCUGCCAUAGCAACGCUUGCCGGGCCGGACUCGGCCCAGGGCGCGCUGAUGGAGAGGUGCGCGCGACCGCCGUCCCGGGAGCCCAAGCCAAGAGCCCCGCGUAAUGGGAGGACACUGGUCCUGGAGCACCAGGUGCUUCACCCGCGUGGCCUCCGAGUAUGCUACUCAAUGAUUCCUGCUAGAUGGGCACAAGCUUAUGGUGGAGUGAAGAUUUGAACCCCUGCCUGAAGCUUCAUACCCGCUUGAAGUGCCACAACACCACUUGGCCCAACCACUUUUUAUAACUUCCUGCACAUCCUCUGGCAGAUGACCUUGGACACAGCGUUCCUGAAACUUGGUUUCCUAGCCCAUAAAGUAGAGCAGUCUGCAGAAGCAGGGAAGAGCCCACCAGGAACUGCCAGACCCCCUGCCAACUGACUCUUUGACUUGUUUGCCUUCUCUGCCUUCCUGUCACCCAAGAUAUGGACACCGAUCCAUGGCCAGGCCUGAGUUGGAAUCUCACUUCCACCUCUCAUUCACCAUGUGA